Molecule: ribosomal RNA, 492 nt
Filed under: uncultured bacterium
Lineage: Bacteria
Description: partial 16S ribosomal RNA
Rfam family: Bacterial small subunit ribosomal RNA
Source: RNAcentral
AGUGAACGCUGGCGGUAGGCCUAACACAUGCAAGUCGAACGGCAGCACAGUAAGAGCUUGCUCUUACGGGUGGCGAGUGGCGGACGGGUGAGGAAUACAUCGGAAUCUACUUUUUCGUGGGGGAUAACGUAGGGAAACUUACGCUAAUACCGCAUACGACCUACGGGUGAAAGCAGGGGAUCUUCUGACCUUGCGCGAUUGAAUGAGCCGCUGUCGGAUUAGCUAGUUGGCGGGGUAAAGGCCCACCAAGGCGACGAUCCGUAGCUGGUCUGAGAGGAGGAUCAGCCACACUGGAACUGAGACACGGUCCAGACUCCUACGGGAGGCAGCAGUGGGGAAUAGUGGACAAUGGGCGCAAGCCUGAUCCAGCCAUACCGCGUGGGUGAAGAAGGCCUUCGGGUUGUAAAGCCCUUUUGUUGGGAAAGAAAAGCAGCAGGUUAAUACCCCGCUGUUCUGACGGUACCCAAAGAAGAAGCACCGGCUAACUUCGUG